GAGGCCAUAACAAACAUUCACAUACACUUUGAAUACUCCUAAUAACGUCAAGAUGAUGCAAGAUGUUUGGACUCAGUUGGGUCCAACCAUUGCAGCAAUCAUGUUCACCUGGACCAUGUACCAAAACUAUUUUCCUCACGAACUUCGUGGUCAUAUUAGGAAGUAUAUCACGAAAUUUAUAAAAUAAUACUUAAAAACUACCCUUCAUUAAAAUUAAAACACUAUAUUAUUUUACAUACAAGAUUACGUAGUAACGAACAUUAAUAAUGUAAAGGAAAAUGAAAAUAUAGCAACUUAUCAUUUAUCCUUAAUAACAUAAGCAUAAAUUAAUGACUGUAAAAAUAAAUACCAGGAACGGUAACAUAAGCAAUGGUGUCAGUGAGCCACUUAACAAGAGCAAAGCACAUGAAUGUUUAAUUGUGCAGAAGAAGAAGAAGAAGAAGUUCAGAAUUUUUGUGGUUUUAAAAUGAGAGGAAAUCCCUCUAUUUAUAGACAACAAAGGGUAGUGUGAACAAAUGUUUAUUGUGCCUUAUCGGAAAGGUCACGACUAUUUGGAAAAGUUGCAACCCUUCGGAAAGAUCGCGACCUUUCAUAAAAGUCACAACUUUUCAUAAAAGUCGCAACUCUUCAUUGAAGUCACAACUUUUCAUAAAAGUCACCACUUUUCAUGAAAGGGGAAGGCUAGUUUUGGAAAUAAAUAAAUUAAAAGGGAAUCCUGGAUUGUGGUGGCGCCACGUAGGCAGGCCUAGGGUUCUCUUUUAAUAUCGCGCGGAAAUUUAAUAUCACGGAAUUUUAUAAAAUAAUACUUAAAAUCUAUCCAUAAUUAAAACUAAAACACUAUAUUUAUUAUCUUACAUACAAAAUUACGUAGUAACGAACAUUAAUAAUGUAAUGAAAAAUAUUAAUUAUAACAUUUUAUCAUUUAUCCUUAAAUCAAUCUCUUUAAUUUGAUUUUAUAAUUUAUCCUUUUACUUCGAGGAAGUGUUACUAUUUGAUAUUUUUGGAGAAUCAAAUGAACAUCAACCUGAGAUAUAAAAAUAUUAUAAUUCUAAUGUGUAGAAAAGUUCAGACCUACCUUUUGUUUUACAUAUAUCAUUUUAAAGUUCUCCAUUUAAAUGUAUCAUAAGUAAUUAUUAAAAUGAAAAAUUAAAGGGAGAAUGUAUCAUAUUGGACAACAAUUCAACUUAUUAUAUAUACUUGAAAGGGAAAAAUAUUACACAAUACUAUUCAGUUUGUUUAGAUGUUUUUUAAAAAUCAACAGACCAGAAUGAUGGAGUUCAAUUUGAAACUACACUUCUAUUCCAAUCGCAAUGUCGAAAAACUCAUCUAUUACUUCAAGAAAAGUAUUUACAACUUGAAGUAAAUUUGAGAAUUUGUCCAUACUUCAUAUUAAAUAUGAGCAAUUAAUUGAUUAUGUAGUUAUCUAUGUCUUUGGGAUUAAAAGAGGUUCCAGUCUAGUCAUAUUCCUCUAUAGGUCAUUCGACACAUCCUUGAACUCAAGUCAAAAGUUUAUUAAUUCUUGUCUUUUUUCCUAGUUCACUUCGCACAUCAAGGUGCGAUAAGGUUUUUAAUGUCUUUAUGUCCUUUCAAUGUAAUACCAAAUUUGAAUUUUAUCUUCAAGAGAUGGUAAUAUAGAUCUUUAAGAAUUUUUUAAUCGUACCUUCAACAAUUUCAGUAGAGAAAACUAGUGUGAAUACUCAAUUAACGUGUGUUAUUUAAUCUGUACUAACAAAUACUUAUAACAAUAACUUUGCAAAAAACAUAAACAACAAAGUUUAAAACAUAUACUCAAGAACAAUAAUUAAUAACAUAAGUAAAAUGAAUGAUUGUAAAAAAACAUACCAAGAUCUGUAACAGUAGAAUGAAACAGAAUGGAAAAACUUGAGCCCACUGAAUAUACAAUGUCCCCUUAAGGAAAUUAUUCUCCUUUAGUACUCGGGUUUAAAGGAAUAGAUCCUCUCAACACAGAACGAUUCCAUUCACCAAUAUAUUGAUACAAAAACAAUGGUGUCAGUGAGCCACUCAGCAGGAGCAAAGUAUACAAAUAUUUUAUUGUGCAGAAGAAGAAGAUCAGAUUUUUUUGUUGUUUUAAAAUUAAAAUGAGAGGAAAUUCCUCUAAUUAUAGACAACAAAGGGUAGAGUGAACAAAUGCUAAUAAUGCCUUAUCGGAAAGGUCACAACCUUUCAUAAAAGUCACAAUUUUUCAUAAAAUUAAAGUUGCAACUUUUCAUUAAAGUCACAACUUUUCAUAAAAGUCGCAACUCUUCAUCAAACUCACAACUUUUCAUAAAAAUUGCAACUUUUCAUGAAAGUCACAACUUUUCAUGAAAGAGGAAGGCUAGUUUUGGAAAUAAAUAAAUAAAAAGAGAAUUCUAGUUUGUGGUGGUGCCAUGUAGGCGUGCCUAGAGUUCUCUUUUAUACAUAUAUAAAAUACAUGACAUACUAUAAAAGAAAGUUAGAUAAGUAAAUUGAAACAAAGAAAAUACUAAACAUAAUAGAGAAAAUUAAAGUAGAAGGGUAAAUCAGUCAAUUUGCCGAUUGAGUCUAAGCUCGUCUCUAUUCCCUUCUAUAUAAAAGAAAUAUACCUUUAAUUUGCACUACGAAACAUUUUUGGUUAGUCCGCCCCGGGACUCACCCUGAAAAUCUCUUUGAAACACUGAUCAAUAGUACACAUUUGCUCUAAUUUCUAGUAGUUUAGUAAUAACAUUGUACGUUGAUUUUUAAGUACUCCAUCCAUUUUAAUUUGUUUUUCUAGUUUUGACUUAGUUUAAAGUUUCUUUGAUUUUAUGUUUUUUGUUUUGAUUUGAAUCUUUUGGACCUAAAUUAAAAAUAUGUAUUAAAAAGUACAAAAAUACCCUUUAAUGUUAUGAUCUCAAACAUAAAGUUGGAAUUAAAGAAUUGUCCAGAAAAAACGAAAGGAAAAUUCCUUUUAAAACAGCCUAGAAAGAAAAGUAAGACAAAUGAACUAAAACAAACGAUGUAUAUACUAUUGUUUUCAAAGACUGUUGUAAGUCAAGGUAUUUAACAUUUUCAUGGAAGUGACCUUACCUAUGAAAUAGUAUGCAUGACGCAUGCCAUAGUUUAGAAAGACCAAUAUUGUAUAAGUCAAGAUAUUUUUACUUUAUGAGUCACGUGUUUUACCUUAAGUAGCUUCCAGGAAACUGUUAAUAAUAGUGACAACCAUUAUAGAAAAUAUACUUCGCACAAUAAUACUUUAACACAUUGAUAGAAAGUGCAUUUUCCAGGUAAUUGUACAUACUAAUUGCUUUACCUAAACACAAAUGGUCGUCUUAUAUGUAUUAUAUUAAUUUAAACAAAGACAAUUACUUAAUGCUAGCUGGUACCAACAAAGGGGUGAAUAAAAAUAAUUUGUUGAAAGACUUGGUUUAACAAACAAAUAUACUUUAAUUUGUUCAAGGUUAACUUUUCGUUCGAUUUUCCUCCUAAUUAGGAUAUUUUUUUCGGGGAAACUUACGUACAUAUAUUAUAUUAAGAAAAUAUUUAUUAUUUAUAGUAAUAACAUUUUUUUUCACUUGAUCACUUUUAAUACAUUUAUAAUACAGUUUUAAUACAUAUUACAGUGAACAAUUUAUAAAACACAUAUAAUACAAGUUUUAUUGAUGGAUAAUACAUUUAUCUCACAUUUUAAUACAAUGUGUCAAUUUGUUACCAAACAAGCAUAAUAUAUUUUAAAACAGUGAUAAUACAUAUAAUACAUAAUUCACUUUUAAUACAUAUUGCAGAUUUAUCAUAGUAUUGAUAUGUAUUUACUAUAAAUGGUAAUAAAUAAAAAAUAUCACUAAAAUCUGUAAUUAUUUAUUAAAAGGUAUUAAUUUUUCCUUUAUUGUUACUCUUGAUAUCUAUAGUCCUCAUUAUGUUAUUUUCCUGAAUCACUUGACCUUAAUUUUUGAUUUAACGUUUUCGAUUCACCCCGUUUGGUCUUUACGUGUGAUUUGUAUACCGAGUACCAGAUGAUUUAAAACAUCUUAUUUUAGAUGAUAUAUGGGUCAUAAUUCUCUCGUCCAUACGUAAGUGCAAUGACAUCUUAUAUAUAUAUAUAUAUGGUCCACUUGGAAGAAGACAAUACGCAUUAUUGGAGCUUAAUCUUAAUUUAACCUUCCUAGUUCUCAAGGGACCUAAUUAUAUAUGAAUUAGAAUCUAUUAAUCAGGACAUGAACAGUAUUUCAAAAUUGGCAAUAGAAACAUGGUUCCAAUUUAUGUGAUGUACUUUUCUUUUUAGUUUGUAAAAAAAAGAAUGACAAAAUAAGUCUUUUUAUCUUGUCUUAAAGGCAUUGGACACGCCCUAUAAUCAAUUCAGGAUCCAACCCCGAGAUCCUAUUUAGGACUUGACCUCGAGACCCGACCUAGACCCGACUUCCAAAUCGAGACCCGACUCCGACUCUUGGUCCGGGACCUGAUUUCUGACUUGGAUCCGACCCCGACACCCAACACUUGACUUGGGAACCGAUCCGACCUCGACUCUCAACUCGAAACCUGACUUUGUCACCCGACCCGGAACCCUACCACGACACUCGACCUAGGAUCCAACCUCGAAUCCUGAUCCGGGACCCAACACCCCGAUCGGAAUCCGACUCCGACCCGACCUCAGGCCCGGGAGUUGAAUCUCGAAUCAAGUCGAGAGGUCCGUGUCCCAAUUUAUGUGAUAUACUUUCCUUUUUAGUCUAUCAUAAAAAAAUAAUGACACAAUAUAUCUUUCUGUGUUUUCUUAAAAGCAUUGUGCAUGCCCCACUCUGGCUUUCUCUAUAUAUAGGAGGCCAUAACAACAUUCACAUACACUUUGAAUACUCCUAAUAACGUCAAGAUGAUGCAAGAUGUUUGGACUCAGUUGGGUCCAACCAUUGCAGCAAUCAUGUUCACCUGGACCAUGUACCAAAACUAUUUUCCUCACGAACUUCGUGGUCAUAUUAGGAAGUAUACCGAUAAACUUGUGAGCUAUUUCUAUCCUUAUAUGCACAUUACUUUUUAUGAACUUGAAACAGAAGGGUGGUUUGAGCGGAGC
This 5020-nucleotide long non-coding RNA is filed under the name Solanum tuberosum (potato). Its description in RNAcentral is "long non-coding RNA (STUB_LNC010830)". The record is from RNAcentral. Lineage: Eukaryota; Viridiplantae; Streptophyta; Magnoliopsida; Solanales; Solanaceae.